RNAcentral lists this ribosomal RNA (981 nucleotides) under Nanophyetus salmincola. Its description in RNAcentral is "partial large subunit ribosomal RNA". It matches the Rfam family "Eukaryotic large subunit ribosomal RNA", at positions 45 to 677 of the family's 3401-position model. The record is from RNAcentral. Lineage: Eukaryota; Metazoa; Platyhelminthes; Trematoda; Plagiorchiida; Nanophyetidae.
UUAAAGCGGAGGAAAAGAAACUAACAAGGAUUCCCUUAGUAACGGCGAGUGAACAGGGAAAAGCCCAGCACCGAAGCCUGUGGUCAUUUGAUCACUAGGCAAUGUGGUGUUCAGGUCGUUCCGUUGAGGUGCUGCUCCACCCUAAGUCCAGCAAUGAGUACGGUGGUACGGACAUGGCCCACAGAGGGUGAAAGGCCCGUGGGGGUGGAGAUCAGGCAGGCCAGUGCCUCUCUGGGUAGACCUUGGAGUCGGGUUGUUUGUGAAUGCAGCCCAAAGUGGGUGGUAAACUCCAUCCAAGGCUAAAUACUUGCACGAGUCCGAUAGCGAACAAGUACCGUGAGGGAAAGUUGAAAAGUACUUUGAAGAGAGAGUAAACAGUGCGUGAAACCGCUCAGAGGUAAGCGGGUGGAGUUGAACUGCAAGCUUUGAGAAUUCAGCUGGUGAGUAUGGUUUGAGCUUGGUCAAGUUUGGCUGGAUAUUGAGGUCUGCGUAGUGGCAGGUUCUAGUCCCUCGGGGCAGGAUGCGCGAUACACUUAUCAAGUGUUGUGCGCCUCAGUAUUAUUCGGGCCUACUCGCCAGUGCACUUUCUCAGAGUGUUCACCACGACCGGCACUGCUGUCUGGCUGUAGUGGUUAAACCGGGCUUACAUCGUCCUUGUGGCUUUGCAUGUUCGGGAAGGCAGGUGGCACGUUGGCUUGCUUGUAGUUUACUGCAGGCAUUUGGUCUUCGUGUGUAAUCAGCUGACCACAACAGUUCUGUGCAGUGUGUCGGGGCUAGCGGCUUGUGGUACUUGCGUGCGUGCUUGUUCUGCUGGCGAGUCCGGGUUUGGUUAUCAUGUUGCCUGCAAGUGCAGGCCUGGGAAUGGCUCGGAUUCGUCCAGUGGGCGGUUGCGUACGUGGUGCUGUUAGAUGGCCAAGAGUCUGUGGUGUAGUGGUAGACUAUCCACCCGACCCGUCUUGAAACACGGGACCAAGGAGAGUA